CAAUUGGAGGGCAAGUCUGGUGCCAGCAGCCGCGGUAAUUCCAGCUCCAAUAGCGUAUAUUAAACUUGUUGCAGUUAAAAAGCUCGUAGUUGAACUUCAGCCAUUGGUGUCAUCGCGCGUGUCGCGUUGAGUCCGUUGGCUUAUCUUUUUACUUUGAGAAAAUUAGAGUGUUUCAAGCAGACUUUUGUCUUGAAUACUUCAGCAUGGAAUAAUAGAGUAGGACCUUGGUUCUAUUUUGUUGGUUUCUGAACCUGGGUAAUGGUUAAUAGGAACGGUUGGGGGCAUUCGUAUUUAACUGUCAGAGGUGAAAUUCUUAGAUUUGUUAAAGACGAACUACUGCGAAAGCAUUUGCCAAGGACGUUUUCAUUAAUCAAGAACGAAAGUUAGGGGAUCGAAGACGAUCAGAUACCGUCGUAGUCCUAACCAUAAACUAUGCCGACUAGGGAUUGGAGGUCGUCAUUUUUCCGACUCC
This 472-nucleotide ribosomal RNA is filed under the name Babesia sp. Its description in RNAcentral is "SSU rRNA". It matches the Rfam family "Eukaryotic small subunit ribosomal RNA", at positions 545 to 1078 of the family's 1831-position model. Lineage: Eukaryota; Apicomplexa; Aconoidasida; Piroplasmida; Babesiidae. The record is from RNAcentral.